RNAcentral lists this transfer RNA (76 nucleotides) under Rhodospirillales bacterium. RNAcentral describes it as "tRNA-Asn". It matches the Rfam family "tRNA". From Rfam's summary of the family: Transfer RNA (tRNA) molecules are approximately 80 nucleotides in length. The record is from RNAcentral. Lineage: Bacteria; Pseudomonadati; Pseudomonadota; Alphaproteobacteria; Rhodospirillales. RNAcentral also lists the same sequence under 1 other name.
UCCGCGGUAGCUCAGUUGGUAGAGCAGGUGGCUGUUAACCACCGGGUCGUAGGUUCGAGUCCUACCCGCGGAGCCA